CCUACGGGUGGCAGCAGUGAGGAAUAUUGGUCAAUGGACGAGAGCCUGAACCAGCCAAGUAGCGUGAAGGAUGACGGCCCUAUGGGUUGUAAACUUCUUUUAUAGGGGAGUAAAGUACGGCAUGUGUGCUGUUUUGUAUGUACCUUAUGAAGAAGGAUCGGCUAACUCCGUGCCAGUAGCCGCGGUAAUACGGAGGAUCCGAGCGUUAUCCGGAUUUAUUGGGUUUAAAGGGAGCGUAGGCGGAAGGUUAAGUCAGUUGUGAAAGUUUGCGGCUCAACCGUAGAAUUGCAGUUGAUACUGGUUGUCUUGAGUGCAGUAGAGGUAGGCGGAAUUCGUGGUGUAGCGGUGAAAUGCUUAGAUAUCACGAAGAACUCCGAUUGCGAAGGCAGCUUACUGGACUGCAACUGACGCUGAUGCUCGAAAGUGUGGGUAUCAAACAGGAUUAGAUACCCCAGUAGUC
This 460-nucleotide ribosomal RNA is filed under the name uncultured bacterium. RNAcentral describes it as "partial 16S ribosomal RNA". It matches the Rfam family "Bacterial small subunit ribosomal RNA", at positions 338 to 795 of the family's 1533-position model. The record is from RNAcentral.